Molecule: ribosomal RNA, 357 nt
Filed under: uncultured bacterium
Lineage: Bacteria
Description: bacterial SSU rRNA
Rfam family: Bacterial small subunit ribosomal RNA
Source: RNAcentral
AGAGUUUGAUCCUGGCUCAGGAUGAACGCUAGCUACAGGCUUAACACAUGCAAGUCGAGGGGAAACGAUAUUGGAAGCUUGCUUCCGAUAGGCGUCGACCGGCGUACGGGUGAGUAACGCGUAUCCAACCUGCCCACCACUUGGGGAUAACCUUGCGAAAGUAAGACUAAUACCCAAUGACGUCUCUAGAAGACAUCUGAAAGAGAUUAAAGAUUUAUCGGUGAUGGAUGGGGAUGCGUCUGAUUAGCUUGUUGGCGGGGUAACGGCCCACCAAGGCGACGAUCAGUAGGGGUUCUGAGAGGAAGGCCCCCCACAUUGGAACUGAGACACGGUCCAAACUCCUACGGGAGGCAAGCA